ACUCGAGCGGGAAGAGCGCGCAGUCUGCGUCUGUGCAGUCUCCGCCCUCUGGAAGGAGGCGGAGCCGAGACGAGCCCUGGGCGGGGCGCGGAGGCCCCGCUGGCCAAUUAACAUGAGCAUCUUCGCGGGAGAGGCGGGGCGCGGUGCGACCAAGAGGCGGAAGGGGCGGUGCCGAGGCCUGGAAUCCCCGAAUCUCAGUUCUCGCUCUUGUGGUUCGGGGUGAGCGGGGUUCUCCUUGCUAAUCCUUAAGCCAGAGACGCUCUCUGUAAAUGAAAAUUUAUCUGUUGCCUCCUUUAGAGUCUGUCUCGCAUCUAUGUGAUGAGGGCGCACACCGUGCCCAGGAAUCACCUGGAAUCUUAUUAAAAGUGCAGAGUUGGUUCAGUAGGUCUACGGUGAGGCCCGAGAUGCUGCGUUCCUAAUUAGCUCCGAGAGGACGUCGAUGCUGUGCCUUCUCCAACACACUUUGAGGAGCAAAGGCCACUAAAGCAGAAAAGACGGCUGCAAUGGUAGUUAACACAACAGUGUUACCUCUCAACCGUGGUGAUUAUCCAUAAAGCCUUUCGUUCGGACAACGAAUUAAUUCACUUAUUUGGAAUGCCUCUUUCAGAUGAGUGAAUUUUAGACAGCAAUAAUAGACAAAAAGAAA
Bubalus bubalis (water buffalo) is the source of this 646-nucleotide long non-coding RNA. RefSeq lists it as uncharacterized. The transcript is spliced from 2 exons. The record is from RefSeq and is a predicted model, not a curated record. NCBI's taxonomy places the organism in Eukaryota, Metazoa, Chordata, Mammalia, Artiodactyla, Bovidae.